GGUAGUCCACGCCGUAAACGAUGUCGACUUGGAGGUUGUGCCCUUGAGGCGUGGCUUCCGGAGCUAACGCGUUAAGUCGACCGCCUGGGGAGUACGGCCGCAAGGUUAAAACUCAAAUGAAUUGACGGGGGCCCGCACAAGCGGUGGAGCAUGUGGUUUAAUUCGAUGCAACGCGAAGAACCUUACCUGGCCUUGACAUCCACAGAACUUUCCAGAGAUGGAUUGGUGCCUUCGGGAACUGUGAGACAGGUGCUGCAUGGCUGUCGUCAGCUCGUGUUGUGAAAUGUUGGGUUAAGUCCCGCAACGAGCGCAACCCUUAUCCUUUGUUGCCAGCGAUUCGGUCGGGAACUCAAAGGAGACUGCCGGUGAUAAACCGGAGGAAGGUGGGGAUGACGUCAAGUCAUCAUGGCCCUUACGGCCAGGGCUACACACGUGCUACAAUGGCGCAUACAAAGAGAAGCGACCUCGCGAGAGCAAGCGGACCUCACAAAGUGCGUCGUAGUCCGGAUCGGAGUCUGCAACUCGACUCCGUGAAGUCGGAAUCGCUAGUAAUCGUGGAUCAGAAUGCCACGGUGAAUACGUUCCCGGGCCUUGUACACACCGCCCGUCACACCAUGGGAGUGGGUUGCAAAAGAAGUAGGUAGCUUAACCUUCGGGAGGGCGCUUACCACUUUGUGAUUCAUGACUGGGGUGAAGUCGUAACAAGGUAACC
Molecule: ribosomal RNA, 712 nt
Filed under: uncultured bacterium
Lineage: Bacteria
Description: bacterial SSU rRNA
Rfam family: Bacterial small subunit ribosomal RNA
Source: RNAcentral